Molecule: small RNA, 138 nt
Filed under: Klebsiella pneumoniae
Lineage: Bacteria; Pseudomonadati; Pseudomonadota; Gammaproteobacteria; Enterobacterales; Enterobacteriaceae
Also listed under: 2 other names
Description: RtT sRNA
Rfam family: RtT RNA
About the family: This family represents a bacterial cis-regulatory element known as RtT RNA. The exact function of RtT is unknown although it is thought that it may be involved in changing the cellular response in relation to amino acid starvation.
Source: RNAcentral
UUAUAUUCUCCACAGGGGGGGAUGAGAACCCCCGACCGGGGUUCGACAACUGGCAACGCCAGUUGGACAGACCGCGAGCCUGCGAGCGGGCUGCCCCGCAGGGGCGAGCGAAGCGAGUCAAUCCCCCCCUCACCGCCA